Molecule: long non-coding RNA, 308 nt
Filed under: Marmota monax (woodchuck)
Lineage: Eukaryota; Metazoa; Chordata; Mammalia; Rodentia; Sciuridae
Source: RNAcentral
CCAGCACAACAUGCCUUUCUGGCGGAUUUCCUGCCGCGCCGACCUGGAGGCGCUCAGGCAUGCGCUGGAGCUCCAGUACCUAUAGCAACACCUGACACCUGCCGUCGCCACACCCACAGGGCCGCUGGAUGCCCAGCCUCCCCUCCAAGAGCCCCAAAGGCCCGGACACCAGACCCCAGGCAGAGCGCUGCACCCCGAGGACUGUCCAGUGGCCGUCGCAGAAACCGUCCAGGGGGACCCCGAAAGCAGAGGGACGGUGGCGUAGGGGCGGAGGCUGCUUGGAGUCCUGAAUUCUGCAAGACGCAAAG